Molecule: long non-coding RNA, 296 nt
Filed under: Musa acuminata (dwarf banana)
Lineage: Eukaryota; Viridiplantae; Streptophyta; Magnoliopsida; Zingiberales; Musaceae
Description: long non-coding RNA (MACU_LNC007217)
Source: RNAcentral
UCCCGGUCAUAGGUUACUCAAGAGGGACAUCGUGAUAACCGGACAGACUGGUGUGCUAUAUACCCGUCCAUAUGAUGGAUGCAUUUGGUCUCAUAGCUGCUUGUGUAGGGACACUAGGGAUACAGUACAAGUGCUCAUUGGAGAAUGAGUUCACUGAUUGAUUCGCUUACGGAAUGCUGGAUGGUUGAUGAUGCCUUAUUGUCAGACAGCGAUUCCGUAGUCCUAGUGGUGUAUCUGGCCCUUAGACUUGAGACACCAAGGAUGUCCUGUAUGAGUGCUCCACUCUUUGAUACCAG